Molecule: ribosomal RNA, 253 nt
Filed under: uncultured bacterium
Lineage: Bacteria
Description: partial 16S ribosomal RNA
Rfam family: Bacterial small subunit ribosomal RNA
Source: RNAcentral
UACGUAGGGAGCAAGCGUUGUUCGGAUUUACUGGGCGUAAAGGGCGCGUAGGCGGCGCGGUAAGUCACUUGUGAAAUCUCUGAGCUUAACUCAGAACGGCCAAGUGAUACUGCAGUGCUAGAGUGCAGAAGGGGCAAUCGGAAUUCUUGGUGUAGCGGUGAAAUGCGUAGAUAUCAAGAGGAACACCUGAGGUUAAGACGGGUUGCCAGGCUGACACUGACGCUGAGGCGCGAAAGCCAGGGGAGCAAACGGG